This 253-nucleotide ribosomal RNA is filed under the name uncultured bacterium. RNAcentral's name for it is "partial 16S ribosomal RNA". It matches the Rfam family "Bacterial small subunit ribosomal RNA", at positions 524 to 776 of the family's 1533-position model. The record is from RNAcentral.
UACGAAGGGAGCUAGCGUUGUUCGGAAUCACUGGGCGUAAAGCGCACGUAGGCGGAUGUGUCAGUCAGGGGUGAAAUCCCGGAGCUCAACUUCGGAACUGCCUUUGAUACAGCAUGUCUUGAGUCCGAUAGAGGUGGGUGGAAUUCCUAGUGUAGAGGUGAAAUUCGUAGAUAUUAGGAAGAACACCGGUGGCGAAGGCGGCCCACUGGAUCGGUACUGACGCUGAGGUGCGAAAGCGUGGGGAGCAAACAGG